Musa acuminata AAA Group (dessert banana) is the source of this 2421-nucleotide long non-coding RNA. RefSeq lists it as uncharacterized. The record is from RefSeq and is a predicted model, not a curated record. Lineage: Eukaryota; Viridiplantae; Streptophyta; Magnoliopsida; Zingiberales; Musaceae. The transcript is spliced from 3 exons.
UGUCGUGCCCCCAAAUUAGUCGGCAUGGUGGGUGCCGAGGAGGCGGCGGCAGUGGUAGCGAGGCGUCAGGCUGAGAGGGUAAAUCAAGCGGCAAAGGCCCAGUCUCCGGUGUGGGCGAAUGCUUCUUUGGUGGUAAGCAGGUCGACAACAUAUCUAGAAGAUCCAAUUUCUUGUCGGGCAUCAAACAGAUGUGUUCUCAACUAUCAUCGGACAGGCUUCGAUGAGGAAUGUGAGAGGUUUUUCAGUCAAAUAUACAAAUGUUGGCUUCUAUAUUCAAGUUUUUAGUGGAAAAUAUCACUCGGAUAAUAUGGUAGGCUUGGAGGGUUUUCAUGAGUCAGAUAACCGAGACUUCUGAUGCUGACCUGAGGCUAUUUCAUGACCGUAUUACCUGUGAAAGAUAAAUUCUUCAUCAGAGAACUCUGUGCCAAUCAGAAGUAGAACCGAUCAACUCAGUUCAUGGACCACAAAUCUAUUUGAAGGCUGAUAAGUGUACUAUGCAUUAUACAGAUCAAGUAAGUCUGCAAAAUUUGCUUUUUUUUCAAUAUUGGCGUACUUUCAUGACUGUAUUUUAUGUUCAAUAUUCCCUGAGACCAUUGCUUAAAGUGUUUGUGUAGUGACAUUCUUUGUAAAUAAAUCACUGAUGAAUGAUCAUUUCCAUUGGCUCUGAUUAAAAUCAUAUUUCUCUUCUCCUACCCACGGCAUUCUAUUUUUCUUCUUAGUUGUCCACCCCUUUUAGGAAGGUGUUUGGAGCUUGUGGAAUCUCCAAGUUCACCAAGUUUUACAAAUUUGCUUUUUUUGCAUCACUGAUAGCAAAAUAAGCUACAUGCUUGAUUGAACUCAAUACUCACAUAAUGUAUGGAUCUAUUGAUCAUGCAGUUAAGAACGGCUACUUGCUCUUGAACACCAAAGAGAGAAAAUAUUAGAAAAUUUGGCAUGUUACAUAUUUGGAUGCACAAGGUAUGGUUUUCUGUUACUGCAAGUGCCAGCUACCCUAUAAAUAAAUAAUUUACUGAGAGUGGCUUUGCUAAUUUGGUGCAAAAUACUUGAGUACUUGUGUUUAGUAAAUGACACACAUGCAGCAUAUGCUUCUUUUUUUCCUUUUUUCUGUCAAUAUACGAUACUGGGUGCUGCAAUCUCUCUCAUUCAUAUGGUUGAUGUUACUUACAUAUCACCAUAGGUAAUGAUCUUCCUCUUGGGUUUUGUUUAGGACUAACUCAAGGAAACCUUCAUUUCAAUGUGCAAAAGAAACCACAAUCUGGUCAUGUCAAACCAAAAUGUCAUAGUCCCUGUUUCUUUUGACGCAACUUUCUUUCAGUAUUGAUGGGCUGAUUUGUCUGUAGGGAGAAACCCCAAUCUGAUUUGACGUAACAAGGGAUAAUCCACAUAUAAUGCUGUUUCCCAAAAUCGCAUGGUAAACGCUGUGGGGAUGGCAUCUUCUCAACCAUCAGGAAGAUGCAUCCUUCUUUAUUUUUGUGUGUUUAGCAGCAUAUGUCGGUAGUCUUCACCCUUCAUGGGGCAAACAAUUCUUCAGCUUCCGUAAGGUGCAUUUUUAAUGUCCUCAUGCUAUAAAAAUCAAUUGACAGCCCAACAAUUACGGGUUCACUUGUAUCCUCUCUUGAUUAUCUGCCUGGGUUGAAGCAGAGCUCCUCAGAGAAUUAUAAUGUUUAUAAGCCUUUUAUCUUUCGAAUCAGGAUCAUCGACACUGAGAUUUUAAUCUUGUAUUAUGUAAGUCCAAGAAAGACAUGGGGCAAAUCAAUCAGGAGAAAUAUAAACAAGUUAUAGCACAGUAGAUCCCCAAUAAAUGCAAUCAAUUCAGUGGAAGCUUUCCAAUACAGCAGAACCUUCCCCCAUAAUUUGGCGGGGCCGCAAGUUUGCCAUUAGCUUUUGUAUCCAUUGGAGGUGGGAACAAGCUUUGCUCCCAUGGAAGCCAGAAGAGAAGGGGAACAACAGAUGAGACCAAAGACAAAAGGCCAUGUACUGCCCCACAACACUCAAUGGGACUCAUGAUAGGCUGGAUUUGCUUGUGGCCUGUUCAAGGUCCCAUGAUAUUAAUAUCUAAGUCGGCAACUUGGCUUCUUCCCUGUGAUGACAUGAAAUAUAAUCAAUCAAAAUGCUGAAAUCAUUGCCUUUUAAUGUGCUGCACAUGCAGAUGACACCUUUUCUUGACGUCAAAAGAAGGAUGAUCAAAUGCACAAAAUUGGAUAGGUCUCCAUUUGCAUGGAUUUCGUCGGCAGGAAUCCUUUGUUGACUUUGCGUGAUUGUAUAGAGAUAAAUCAGUUUCAUUCUUUCCAGUAUCAUGUGGGUAUGUGUGUAUGAAAAAUAUAAAUAUGAUGUAUUAUUUUUGAACUCUAAGCAAAGUAUGUUUGUUCAGUUACAUAAGAUCCUAGAGUUAUUCUUCAAUGGAACGAUGAUGAUAAUUUA